AAAUCGGGGCCCGGUGGAUCCAAAUGUCGCGACUCAGUCUUCGUCCUUCGAUUCAGUUAUCUUGCACUUUUACUUCCGUCUCAUAUUUUAUUUAUGGGGUAGGUUUUUUGAGAACAUAUAUAUCUAUAUAGUCUAUAGUUAUUGAGAACUUAUAUUUUAGUACUACUAUAUAUCGUCGAGUUAUAUUGUGGUUGGAUUCGAUAAUUUCAUGUAAUGUGUCACGUUAAUGUGUCGCUGUUAAGUGUACUGUUUGCUGGAUAAUACUUUCUCAAUCUCUUUCAUUCAAUUCUUUUAACUGACUAUGUUACUUAAAUUUAAAGUUCUUACAUUCAAUUAAGGUAUUCAAUUUUGAAUUUUGUUUAUGAUUUUGAUCAGGCCAACGAUUUUCCAAAUCAAUCAGCACCAACCGGUCUAUACAAACAUCUAGAAUAAAAGAAGCCCCACCAUGUGAUAGUGUAGCACCAAUAUAGUAUUACAUGCGACCACUCACAUAAAAAUUUCCCACGUAUAUAUAGGUUGGUUAGCGGAUAACACAGAAUCACACCCCGAAAGUCCCACCAAAUAACCACAUUAUAAAUAAAAAUAAAACACACUCUAUCAUCUCCCCACCCGCCAAACUAAAUAUUUCAUGGGUCCAAAUAUAACGGGUAUUAAUUUUGUAGAAAGUCAAAUUUCUUUAAAUUUGACCCAAGUUCAAAGCAAAAAUAUCGACAUCUAUAAUAUUAAACAAAAAAGUAUGAAAAUUCAUUUCAGGAUGAAUUUAAAAAUACCAAUUUGAUAUUAUGGUAAAUUUCUCUACAAAUUUGAUCAAACUUAAAAGGUUUGACUUUUCAAAAGAAGUAAUACAUCUUAUAUUUCGAAAUUGAGUGAUAUAUUUUGAAGAAACACAACACCAACGGCUCGGUGAAGUGCGCCCAAUCCUUCUAUUUAAUACACUACGCUCCCUAAUUUUCAAGGCCUCACAAUCAAUUUAGGCCUUCAAUUUGGUAUUUGGUCACCCGAUUUUGACCAAGCCAAUUUUUUUCUCAAGGAGCUCGCCCAUUAAUUUCUUUUAAUUCAUGAUACUCACUAAUUUCGAAGCUCCCUCGUUCGAUUAAGUUCAAUUUUGGAUUUGGUUCACAAUUUUGACCAGCUCACCUGUUUUUGCAAUCAAUCUGCAGCAACCGGCCCAUAAAAACAUAGUCUUCCCACGUACCCUCGCACCACAUAGAAAAAAGAAAAGCCAAUAUGAGAUAUUGUAGCACCAAUAAAGUAUAUGCAAUCACCGAUGCGGAUUUUUUUAAGUUGAUUAGCAAAUAACACAGAAUGACACCGCCAUAGGCUCACCAAAACAACACAUUAUAAACAAAAAGAAAACGCACUCUAUCAUCUCCCCACUUGCCAAACCAAAUACCCCCUCGGUUUUAAAAAUGUAAGGUGUAUUAGUUUUUAGAAAAGCCAAAAACAUUGACAUCCACAAUACUAAAUGGAUAAAUACAAAAAUCAUUUAAUGAUGAAUCUAAUGAUAUGGAAUUGAUAUUACAGAUAUUGAUAUAUUUCUCUACAAAUUUGGUCAAACUUAAAGUGGUUAGAAUUUUCAAAAAAGCAACGCACCUUAUAUUUUGAUACAGAGGGGGUAGAAAAUUAUGAAAACCCAACAACAUCAAUGUCGUAGCAAAGCGCGUCCAAUACUUCUUUUUUUUGAGCAUCAGUACAGACACAAGCGCUCAUAUACACGCACAUACACUCACCCCUAUGAACGCAUACACGCACAUCCUACCCCUAUGAGCACCUCCAAGAGACUGAGCCGGCAUAUCAUCUUGAGAUUUACGAAGUCACCGUAGGCGUCUCGUCAUCGACGGGAACAUCUCCUCCCACUGAAAGCGCAUCGCCGGAAAUCCUGAAAUAAAUCCAGGAAUAAUGCGAGCACCAUGAUUCGAACCCUGGUGGGUUGGGGAUACCACUGUCCACCUAACCAUCUCAACCACAGGGUUAUUCACUCGCGCCCAAUACUUCUAGUAUUUACUAUUGCGUCUAGAAAAUUUUGUACAGAUUCACACCUCUUACCAAAAUCACCAUGUUUUUUUCCUAAAGAGUAUUUUCCCCCUUUUCCUUCACCUUGGACUUGUCUUUUUUUAUUGAGUAAAUUCUGUAUUUUACCCCUACUUUUUGGGUCAGUUGGUCUCGCGUUUCAGCGCUGACUUGGCAUGCAACAUAGACGGGCUUAUUUGGUUGGUUGAUUUUUAACUUGGUUUGUGUUAAGGAUUAAUUAAAUCCUAGUAAUCCAUGCUUAGAUUGGUUGUGUAGUUUAGCAACCAUUAGUUACUGUUGGGAAACGUAGCAUGCACUUUCAAAAAAUUUCCUACGCUCACGCGAGAUCCAUCUAUGAGAUGCAUAGCAACGAGAGGGGAGAGUGUGUCCACGUACCCUCGUAGACCAAAAACGGAAGCGUUUGCUAACACGGUUGAUGUAGUCGAACUUCUUCUCGUUCCGAUGGAUCAAGUACCGAAUGUACGGCACCUCCGAGUUCUGCACACGUUCAACGCGAUGACAUUCCUCGAGCUCUCGAUCCAGCAGAGUGUCGAGGAAGUAGAUGAGUUUCGUCAGCACGACGGCGUGCUGACGAUGAUGGUGUAGUGAUCCGCGCAGGGCUUCUCCUAAGCACUACGAGAAUAUGACCGGAGGCGUAAACUGUUGAGGGGGGCGCCGCACAUGGCUAGGAAUAGUUGAUGUGUGUUCUAGGCGCCCCCUCCCCAUGUAUAUAAAGGAGGGAGGGGGAGGGAGGCAGCCCUAGGCGUGCCCAAGUAGGAGGAAUCGUACUUGGGCUCGUGGUAGGAUUCACCCCCUCUUUCCUUUUACCGGAAGGGGAACACUACUAGGGAAAAGCUUAUACACAGACGCUUAGUAGUAGCGAGGGUUAAAAACCCGCGCUACUGCUAUCAACUUAGUAGUAGCGAGGUUUUUUAAACCUCNNNNNNNNNNNNNNNNNNNNNNNNNNNNNNNNNNNNNNNNNNNNNNNNNNNNNNNNNNNNNNNNNNNNNNNNNNNNNNNNNNNNNNNNNNNNNNNNNNNNNNNNNNNNNNNNNNNNNNNNNNNNNNNNNNNNNNNNNNNNNNNNNNNNNNNNNNNNNNNNNNNNNNNNNNNNNNNNNNNNNNNNNNNNNNNNNNNNNNNNNNNNNNNNNNNNNNNNNNNNNNNNNNNNNNNNNNNNNNNNNNNNNNNNNNNNNNNNNNNNNNNNNNNNNNNNNNNNNNNNNNNNNNNNNNNNNNNNNNNNNNNNNNNNNNNNNNNNNNNNNNNNNNNNNNNNNNNNNNNNNNNNNNNNNNNNNNNNNNNNNNNNNNNNNNNNNNNNNNNNNNNNNNNNNNNNNNNNNNNNNNNNNNNNNNNNNNNNNNNNNNNNNNNNNNNNNNNNNNNNNNNNNNNNNNNNNNNNNNNNNNNNNNNNNNNNNNNNNNNNNNNNNNNNNNNNNNNNNNNNNNNNNNNNNNNNNNNNNNNNNNNNNNNNNNNNNNNNNNNNNNNNNNNNNNNNNNNNNNNNNNNNNNNNNNNNNNNNNNNNNNNNNNNNNNNNNNNNNNNNNNNNNNNNNNNNNNCGCUACUACUAAGUUGAUAGCAGUAGCGCGGGUUUUUAACCCUCGCUACUACUAAGCGGUCUCUACCGUGCCCCCCGAGACAUGCCAUAGUAGUAGCGCGGGUUUGUAACACUCGCUACUACUAAGUUGAUAGCAGUAGCGUUGGUUUUUAACCCUCGCUACUACUAAGUGGUCUCUACCGUGCCCCUGGACCAUGCCAUAGUAGUAACGAUGGUUAUAAACCCUCGCUACUGCUAAGUUUUUACCCCUUGCUACUACUAAUCGGUCUCAACCGUGCCCCUCGGGGACAUGCCAUAGUAGUAGCGAGGGGUAAAAACCCGCGCUACUACUAAAUACUGGGUUUCAAACUCUACCCCCCCCCUGUGGAUCGCCUUUUCAGUUUAAAAAAACAAAAGAAAAUGAUGAAAAUGUCAAAAAAAUAAAAGAAAAUAAGUUUCCCAUGUGAUAUGUGGUCUAGUUGUUGGGAAAAUUUGCAAAUAUGAAUUUCGACUUUAUUUGCAAAAUCUCUCGAGAAUUUGUAAAAAUGGGCAUAACUUUUGCAUACUAACUCGGAUGAAAAAGUUUUUUAUAUGAAAAAUCAUCUACUCGAAAAGUUACAUCCAAAUUUAACGGGGGAAACCCCGUUAAACAUUUUCAAAAUCCUCAAAAACCUAACAGAAAAAAAGUUACGGGGCUUUUAAGAUCUGGAGGCAAAAAAAUUCAUCAAAUUUCAGUUUUUUUUAAUUUUUGUUAAAUCUGGUCAAACUAUGAUCAAACUAAUUAUUCAAGGAUAUUAGUGUUACUAAAUAAUUAUUUCAGUUUUUUUGAAUUUUGGUCAAAUCUGGUCAAACUAUGGUCAAACAAUGGUCAAACUAAUUAUUCAAGAAAUAUUAGUGUUACUAAACAUUAGUGUUAUUUUUUAGAACAAUAGUUUCAAAGUCAAACAGUGAAAUGUGUGACUUCAUGCUCAAGCUAAAUUCCUGAGGUUAAUAGGAUUGACAUCUUACUAUUGUCAGGAAAACAACAAGUGCAGACUUGGAAACGAGGGAGAAUAGAACCCGGAAGUUAAGCGUGCUCAGGUUGGAGUAGUGAGAGGAUGGGUGACCGUCCGGGAAGUUAGAUGAUUUGGAAUGAUGAGGGGUGAUUAGAGAUUAAAUUGAGCAGCGAUGAGGGGUGAUUAGAGAUUGGAGGUUAAAAUAAUUCAAAAAUUUGAAAAUUAGGGAAAAAAUCGAUUUUUUCGAAAAAAUUCAAAAAAAAUCAGAGAUUAGAGAUUAGUAGUAGCGCGGGUUUUUACCCACGCUGUCGUGGAAUUGUCACGUCAGAUGUCCUCGUGAAAGGACUUAGUUGUGGAGCCAUCGCAACUAGGAAGCUUGAAGGGGUUAAUCGGGACAAAGGACAUGAGAGGGUUUAUACUAGAUCGGCCCCUUACGGUGAAGGUAAGGCCUACGUCUAGUUGGGUUGGUAUUGAUGUUCCGAUGACCAGGGAGCGAGACACGCUAUGCCCGGUUCUCGAUGAGUUGUUUUUCUCCCCCAAGCCGCCAUCAGGUCGUCCCCUUAUAUACACGGGUUGACGCCCUGUGGCCUACAGAGUCCCGGCCGGCUUAUAACAGUGUCCGGCUCGGUGACUAGUUAAAACUACCUUAUGAUACAAGUCACGCCAUUACGGCGGUUUACUACAACGGGCCUUAAGUCGCCUGUGGGCCUUAAGCCCUCUAUGAACCGCCAUCUUCAUGCUUUGGGCUUGGGCCUUCUCUCUGGUAAGUCUUCUUUACGUAACCCGGCCCCUCCUGGACGGCUUACUCAAAUAGUUAUAUCCCCAACACACGCUACUACUAACGGACGUAGUAGUAGCGCGGGUGGCACCCGCGCUACUGCUAUACGUUAGCUGUAGCAUCGGCCCCCACGCUACUAAUAGGCCCAAAACCCGCGCUGCUGCUAGGCUUUUCGCUAGUAGUGGAAAGAGGGGAAGUGAGGGGGAAGUAGGGAAAGAGGGGGAUGCCGCCCCCUCCUCCUCCUCCAAUUCGGCCUCCUUCCUUGGGGGGGGGCACCACCCCUCUGUGGGCUGGUGUGCUCCCUCCUAAGGCCCAUAUGGCCCAUAUCUUCCCCCGAGGGGUUCCAGUAACCCCCUCCCCGAUACUCCGAUAUGUACCCAAUACAUUCCGGAACACUUCCGGUGUUCGAAUACUAUCAUCCAAUAUAUCAAUCAUUACCACUUGACCAUUUCGAGACUCCUCGUCAUGUCUGUGAUCUCAUCCGGGACUCCAAACAACCUUCAGUCACCAAAUCACAUAACUCAUAUAAUACAAAUCGUCAUCGAACAUUAAGGGUGCGGACCCUACGGGUUCGAGAACUAUGUAGACAUAACCGAGCAGACACCUCUUUGGUCAAUAACCAAUAGCGGAACCUGGAUGCUCAUAUUGGCUCCCACAUAUUCUACGAAGAUCUUUAUCGGUCAAACCGUUAUGACAAUGUACGUUAUUCCCAUUGUCAUUGAUAUGUUACUUGCCCGAGAUUCGAUCGUCGGUAUAUUCAUACCUAGUUCAAUCUUAUUACUGGAAAGUCUCUUUACUCGUUCUGUAAUGCAUCAUCCCGCAACUAACUCAUUAGUCACAUUGCUUGCAAGGAUUCUUAUGAUGUGCAUUACCGAGAGGGCCCAGAGAUACCUCUCCGAUACUCAGAGUGACAAAUCUUAAUCUUGAUCUAUGCCAACCCAAAAAACACCUUCGGAGAUACCUGUAGAGCAUCUUUAUAAUCACCUAGUUACGUUGUGACAUUUGAUAGCACACAAGGCAUUCCUCCGGUAUCCGGGAGUUGCAUAAUCUCAUAGUUGGAGGAAUAUGUAUUUGACAUGAAGAAAGCAGCAGCAAUAAAACUGAAUGAUCAUUAUGCUAAGCUAACGGAUGGGUCUUGUCAAUCACAUCAUUAUCCCAAUGAUGUGUUCCUGUUCAUCAAAUGACAACACAUGUCUAUGGCUAGGAAACUGAACCAUCUUUGAUCAACGAGCCAGUCAAGUAGAGGCAUACUAGGGACACAGUGUUUUGUCUAUGUAUUCACACAUGUAUCAUGUUUCCGGUUAAUACAAUUCUAGCAUGUAUAAUAAGCAUUUAUCAUGAAUAAGGAAAUAUAAAAUAACAACUUUAUUAUUGCCUCUAGGGCAUAUUUCCUUCGGUCUCCCACUUGCACUAGAGUCAAUUAUCUAGAUUACAAAGUAAUGAUUAUAACACCCAAGGAGUCUUGGUGCUGAUCAUGUUUUGCUCAUGAAAGAGGCUUAGUCAACGGGUCUGCCGCAUUCAAAUCAGUAUGUAUUUUGCAAAUCACUAUGUCUCCAUCCUUGACUAGAUCUCGGAUGGAGUUGAAGUGUCUCUUGAUGUGUUUGGUCUUUCUGUGAAAUCUGGAUUCCUUCGCUAAGGCAAUUGCUCCAGUAUUGUCACAAAAGAUUUUCAUUGGACCCGAUGCACUAGGUAUUACACCUAGAUCAGAUAUGAACUCCUUCAUCCAGACUCCUUCAUUUGCUGCUUCCAAAGCAGCUACGUACUCCGCUUCACACAUAGAUCCCGCCACGAUGCUCUGCUUGGAACUGCACCAACUGACAGCUCAACCAUUCAAUAUAAAUACGUAUCCGGUUUGUGACUUAGAGUCAUGCGGAUCAGUGUCAAAGCUAGCAUCGAUGCAAUGAUUUACGACGAGCUCUUUGUUACCUCCAUAAACGAGAAACAUAUCUCUAGUCCUCUUCAGGUACUUCAGGAUAUUCUUGACUGUUGUCCAAUGAUCCACUCCUGGAUUACUUUGGUACCUCCCUGCUAAACUUAUAGCAAGGCACACAUCAGGUCUGGUACACAACAUAGCAUACAUGAUAGAACCUAUGGUUGAGGCAUAGGGAAUGACUUUUAUUUUCUCUCUAUCUUCUGAAGUGGUUGGGCAUUGAGUCUGACUUGUAACAUAGGCAAGAACCCUUUCUUUGACUGAUCCAUUUUGAACUUCUUCAAAACGUUAUCAAGGUAUGUGCUUUGUGAAUGUCCUAUCAAGCUGAAGGAAAUAUGCCCUAGAGGCAAUAAUAAAGUUAUUAUUUAUUUCCUUAAUUCAUGAUAAAUGUUUAUUAUUCAUGCUAGAAUUGUAUUAACCAGAAACUUAGUACAUGUGUGAAUACAUAGACAAAACGUAUAGUCCCUAGUAUGCCUCUACUUGACUAGCUCGUUAAUCAAAGAUGGUUAUGUUUCCUAACCAUAGACAUGUGUUGUCAUUUGAUGAACGAGAUCACAUCACUAGGAGAAUGAUGUGAUGUACAAGACCCAUCCGUUAGCUUAGCACUAUGAUCAUUUAGUUUCCUGCUAUUGCUUUCUUCAUGACUUAUACAUGUUCCUAUGACUAUGAGAUUAUGCAACUCCCGAAUACCAAAGGAACACUUUGUGUGCUACCAAACAUCACAAUGUAAAUGGGUGAUUAUAAAGGUGCUCUACAGGUGUCUCCGAAGGUGUUUGUUGGGUUGGCAUAGAUCAAGAUUAGGAUUUGUCACUCUGUGUUUCGGAGAGGUAUCUCUGGGCCCUCUCGGUAAUACUCAUCACUAUAAGCCUUGCAAGCAUUGUGACUAAAGAGUUAGUUGCGGGAUGAAGUAUUACGGAACGAGUGAAUAGACUUGCCGGUAACGAGACUGAACUAGGUAUUGAGAUACGUACGAUCGAAUCUCAGGCAAGUAACAUACUGAUGACAAAGGGAACAACGUAUGUUGUUAUGCGGUUUGACCGAUAAAGAUCUUCGUAGAAUAUGUAGGAACCAAUAUGAGCAUCCAGGUUCCGCUAUUGGUUAUUGACCGGAGGCGUGUCUCGGUCAUGUUUACAUAGUUCUCGAACCCGUAGGGUCCGCAUGCUUAAGGUUUGAUGACGAUUUGUAUUAUGAGUUAUGUGAUUUGAUGACUGAGGGAGUUCCGGACUAGGGGGUGUCCGGAUAGCCGAACUAUCAUCAUCGGUCGGACUCCAAGACUAUGAAGAUACAAGAUUGAAGACUUCCUCCCGUGUCCGGAUGGGACUUUCCUUGGCGUGGAAGGCAAGCUUGGCGAUACGGAUAUGUAGAUCUCCCACCAUUGUAACCGGCUCUGUGUAACCCUAGCCCUCUCCGGUGUCUAUAUAAACCGGAUGGCUUUAGUCCAUAGGACGAACAACAAUCAUACCAUAGGCUAGCUUCUAGGGUUUAGCCUCCUUGAUCUCGUGGUAGAUCUACUCUUGUAACACACAUCAUCAAUAUUAAUCAAGCAGGACGUAGGGUUUUACCUCCAUCAAGAGGGCCCGAACCUGGGUAAAACAUCGUGUCCCUCGUCUCCUGUUACCAUCCGCCUAGACGCACAGUUCGGGACCCCCUACCCGAGAUCCGCUGGUUUUGACACCGACAUUGGUGCUUUCAUUGAGAGUUCCUCUGUGUCGUCGCCGAUAGGCUCGAUGGAUUCUUCGAUCGUCAUCAACGACGCAGUCCAGGGUGAGACCUUCCUCCCUGGACAGAUCUUUGUAUUCGGCGGCUUUGCACUGCGGGCCAAUUCGCUUGGCCAUCUGGAGCAGAUCGAAAGCUACACCCCUGGCCGUCAGGUCAGAUUUGGAAGUUUAGACUUCACCGCUGACAUCCGCGGGGACUUGAUCCUCGAUGGAUUCGAGCCACAGCCGAGCAUGCCGCACUGUCACAGCGAGCAUGAUUUAGCUCUGCAGCCAGACAGUACCCCGGAGGCCGCACUAGAACCCGCUCCGAUCUUCAACUCAGAGCCGGUUGCGCAGGUCGAGGACGGAUGGAUAGACACCGCCUCGGGGGCUGCAACCUCUACGGCGAUAGAGCCGAACACUGACCUUGUCCCUCAUGAAGCUCAUGACUCCAAGGUGCCAGACUCCUUGCCGGACUCCGAACCUCCCGCGCCCCCUCCGAUCGAAUCCGAUUGGGCGCCGAUCAUGGAGUUCACCGUAGCGGACAUCUUUCAACACUCACCUUUUGGCGACAUCUUGAGUUCGCUAAAGUAUCUCUCGUUAUCAGGAGAGCCCUGGCCGGACUGCGGCCAGGACGGUUAGGAUGCGGACGACGAAGAAAUUCAAAGCCCACCCACCACCCACUUGGUAGCCACUGUCAACGAUCUAACCGACAUGCUAGAUUAUGACUCCGAAGACAUCGACGGUAUGGACGACGACGCCGGAGACGACCAAGAACCAGCGCCUAAGGGGCACUGGAAAGCCACCCCAACUCACGACGUAAGCAUGGUGGAUACACCAAAAGGAAGCGACAAUGAGGAAAAACGGGACGUGGCGAAGGACAACUCCCCCAACAAACAACCAAAACGGCGACGCAAGCACCGCCCGAAGACCGGCCUCGAUAAAACGGCACCCAUACGGACCCGGCCCUAGAGCAGGGCGAAGCAGUGGACGACGCACAUGCCACCAAGCAGCCAUCCGAACAUGAUGAACUGGACAAGCAACCCAUCCCCGGCGAAGACGAUCUCACAUCACCAGAGCAUACGAACCUUCAUAAAAGGCUCGUCGCCACUGCAAGAAGUUUGAAGAAGCAAAAGCGGAAGCUCAAAACAGUGGAGGAGCACUCAGAAAGAGAGGGAGCAAAAUACUCAACACCGCAGAUAAAUACGGCGCUAGUCACCAGACAAAGAGCUACCCGAAGCGCAAGUUGUUGCCCGAAUUUGACGAGGAGGCCUUAGAGCCCCCGCAGUCAAAAAAGAAAGAAGCCACCUGGCCGGAUAGACGACCAGAUGACAGGCCAAUAACAGCAAGGGGCGCCGCACACAAGCCGGCACACGAUCAGCACAAAGAUCCUCGGAAGAAGGAUGACCCGGCCAGGUCUAUCUAUGGGCCAAAAAAGAAGACUCCAGGAAGCAACAUAACUCGUCGAUCAUUUGAAGACAACGGCACACCCAAAUACAGGAGCGCCGCACACCCACUGUGUUUCACCAAUGAGGUACUGGAUCAUGGAUUUCCAGCGGGAUUCAAACCCGUAAACAUAGAGGCAUAUGACGGAACAACAGACCCCAGAGUCUGGAUUGAGGAUUAUAUCCUACACAUACAUAUGGCCAGAGGAGACGAUCUCCAUGCCAUAAAAUACCUACCCCUCAAGCUCAAAGGGCCAGCUCGGCAUUGGCUCAAAAGCCUCCCAGAAAACACCAUUGGAAGUUGGGAAGAGCUUGAGGAUGCGUUUCGAGCAAAUUUUCAGGGGACUUAUAUCCGCCCUCCGGAUGCAGACGAUUUAAGUCACAUAACUCAACAGCCCGGAGAGUCAGCACGCAAAUUCUGGAACAGGUUCCUGACUAAAAAGAACCAAAUUGUGGACUGUUCGGACGCUGAAGCCUUAGCAGCCUUUAAACACAACUUCCGAGACGAAUGGCUCGCUAGACACCUCGGCCAAGAAAAACCAAGAACAAUGGCCGCACUAACAAGCCUCAUGACCCGCUUUUGCGCAGGGGAGGGCAGCUGGCUGGCUAGAUGUUGGAAAUAUGCCCUAGAGGCAAUAAUAAAAGUAUUAUUAUUAUAUUUCCUUGUUCAUGAUAAUUGUCUUUUAUUCAUGCUAUAACUGUAUUAUCCGGAAAUCGUAAUACACGUGUGAAUACAUAGACCACAAUAUGUCCCUAGUGAGCCUCUAGUUGACUAGCUCGUUGUGAUCAACAGAUAGUCAUGGUUUCCUGGCUAUGGACAUUGGAUGUCGUUGAUAACGCGAUCACAUCAUUAGGAGAAUGAUGUGAUGGACAAGACCCAAUCCUAAGCUUAGCACAAAGAUCGUGUAGUUCGUUUGCUAGAGCUUUGCCAAUGUCAAGUAUCUCUUCCUUUGACCAUGAGAUCGUGUAACUCCUGGAUACCGUAGGAGUGCCUUGGGUGUAUCAAACGUCACAACGUAACUGGGUGACUAUAAAGGUGCACUACAGGUAUCUCCGAAAGUAUCUAUUGUUUUAUGCGGAUCGAGACUGGGAUUUGUCACUCCGUGUAAACGGGUAUCUCUGGGCCCACUCGGUAGGACAUCAUCAUAUGCGCAAUGUGACCAAGGAGUUGAUCACGGGGUGAUGUGUUACGGAACGAGUAAAGUGACUUGCCGGUAACGAGAUUGAACAAGGUAUCGGUAUACCGACGAUCGAAUCUCGGGCAAGUAACAUACCGAUAGACAAAGGGAAUUGAAUACGGGAUCGAUUGAGUCCUUGACAUCGUGGUUCAUCCGAUGAGAUCAUCGUGGAACAUGUGGGAGCCAACAUGGGUAUCCAGAUCCCGCUGUUGGUUAUUGACUAGAGAACGUCUCGGUCAUGUCUGCAUGUCUCCCGAACCCGUAGGGUCUACACACUUAAGGUUCGAUGACGCCAGGGUUAUAAAGGAAGCUUGUAUGUGGUUACCGAAUGUUGUUCGGAGUCCCGGAUGAGAUCCCGGACGUCACGAGGAGUUCCGGAAUGGUCCGGAGGUAAAGAUUUAUAUAUAGGAAGUCCUGUUUCGGCCAUCGGGACAAGUUUCGGGGUCAUCGGUAUUGUACCGGGACCACUGGAAGGGUCCCGGGGGCCCACCGGGUGGGGCCACCUGCCCCGGGGGGCCACAUGGGCUGAAGUGGGAAGGGAUCCAGCCCAAACUGGGCUGGGGCGCCACUUCCCUCAUGGCCCAUGCGCCUAGGGUCAAAGGGGAACCCUAAGGAAGAGUCCUAGGAGGGGAAGGCACCUCCUAGGUGCCUUGGGGGGGAGGGAAUCCUCCCUUGGCCGCCGCCCCUUUCCCAUCUAGGGCUGGCCGCACCCCUUGGGGGUGGGAAACCCUAAAGGGGGCGCAGCCCUCCCCUUCCCCUAUAUAUAUUGAGGCAUGGGGCUGCCCAUAACACGCGAUUUGAUCUCUCGUUGGUGCAGCCCUGCCCCUCUCCCUCCUCCUCCUCUCCCAUGGUGCUUAGCGAAGCCCUGCUGGAUUGCCACGCUCCUCCAUCACCACCACGCCGUUGUGCUGUUGUUGGAUGGAGUCUUCCUCAACCUCUCCCUCUCUCCUUGCUGGAUCAAGGCAUGGGAGAAGUCACCGGGCUGUACGUGUGUUGAACGCGGAGGUGCCGUACGUUCGGCACUUGAUCAUCGGUGAUCUGAAUCACGACGAGUACGACUCCAUCAACCCCGUUCACUUGAACGCUUCCGCUUAGCGAUCUACAAGGGUAUGUAGAUGCACUCUCCUUUCUACUCGUUGCUGGUCUCUCCAUAGAUAGAUCUUGGUGUUACGUAGGAAAAUUUUUGAAUUUCUGCUACGUUCCCCAACAGUGGUAUCAGAGCUAGGUCUAUUGCGUAGAUUCUUUGCACGAGUAGAACACAAAGUAGUUGUGGGCGUUGAUGUUGUUCAAUAUGCUUACCGUUACUAGUCCAAUCUUGUUUCGACGGUAUUGUGGGAUGAAGCGGCCCGGACCGACCUUACACGUACUCUUACGUGAGACAGGUUCCACCGAUUGACAUGCACUUGGUGCAUAAGGUGGCUAGCGGGUGCCAGUCUCUCCCACUUUAGUCGGAACGGAUUCGAUGAAAAGGGUCCUUAUGAAGGGUAAAUAGCAAUUGGCAUAUCACGUUGUGGUCUUGCGUAGGUAAGAAACGUUCUUGCUAGAAACCCAUAGCAGCCACGUAAAACAUGCAACAACAAUUAGAGGACGUCUAACUUGUUUUUGCAGGGUAUGCUAUGUGAUGUGAUAUGGCCAAAAGGAUGUGAUGAAUGAUAUAUGUGAUGUAUGAGAUUGAUCAUGUUCUUGUAAUAGGAUUCACGACUUGCAUGUCGAUGAGUAUGACAACCGGCAGGAGCCAUAGGAGUUGUCUUUAUUUUUUGUAUGACCUGCGUGCAUUGAAGAACGCCAUGUAAACUACUUUACUUUAUUGCUAAACGCGUUAGUCAUAGAAGUAGAAGUAGUCGUUGGCGUGACAACUUCAUGAAGACACGAUGAUGGAGAUCAUGAUGAUGGAGAUCAUGGUGUCAUGCCGGUGACGAUGAUGAUCAUGGAGCCCCGAAGAUGGAGAUCAAUGGAGCUAUAUGAUAUUGGCCAUAUCAUGUCACUAACUAUAUAAUUGCAUGUGAUGUUUAUUAUGUUUAUGCAUCUUGUUUACUUAGGACGACGGUAGUAAAUAAGAUGAUCCCUUACAACAAUUUCAAGAAGUGUUCUCCCCUAACUGUGCACCGUUGCUACAGUUCGUCGCUUCUAAGCACCACGUGAUGAUCGGGUGUGAUGGAUUCUUACGUUCACAUACAACGGGUGUAAGACAGAUUUACACAGCAAUACACUUAGGGUUAACUUGACGAGCCUAGCAUGUGCAGACAUGGCCUCGGAACACGGAGACCGAAAGGUCGAGCAUGAGUCGUAUAGUAGAUACGAUCAACAUGAAGAUGUUCACCGAUGAUGACUAGUCCGUCUCACGUGAUGAUCGGACACGGCCUAGUUGACUCGGAUCAUGUGAUCACUUAGAUGACCAGAGGGAUGUCUAUCUAAGUGGGAGUUCAUAAGAUGAACUUAAUUAUCCUGAACAUAGUCAAAAGACCUUUUGCAAAUUAUGUCGUAGUUCACGCGAUAGUUCUACUGUUUUAGAUAUGUUCCUAGAGAAAAUAUAGUUGAAAGUUGAUAGUAGCGAUUAUGCGAUCAGUAGAAAGCUUAUGUCCUUAAUGCACCGCUCAGUGUGCUGAACCCCAACAUCGCUUGUGGAUGUUUCGAACAUCGAACAUACACGUUUUGAUAACUACGUGAUAGUUCAGUUAAAUGGUUUAAGUAGAGGCACCAAAGACAUUUUCGAAACGUCACGGAACAUAUGAGAUGUUUCGAGGGCUGAAAUUGGGAUUUCAGGCUCGUGCCCAUGUCAAGAGGUAUAAGACCUCCGACGAUUUUCUUAGCCUGCAAACUAAGGGAGAAAAUCCCAAUCGUUGAGCUUGUGCUCAGAUUGUCUGAGUACAACAAUCACUUGAAUCGAGUGGGAGUUGAUCUUCCAGAUGAGAUAGUGAUGUUUCCCCAAAGUCAUUGCCACCAAGCUGCUAGAGCUUCGUGAUGAACUAUAACAUAUCAAGGAUAGAGAUGAUGAUCCUUGAGGUAUUCGCGUUGUUUGACGUUGCGAAAGUAGAAAUCAAGAAGGAGCAUCAAUUGUUGAUGGUUGAUGAAACCACUAGUUUCAAGAAGGGCAAGGGAACAAAGGGAUACUUCAUGAAACGGCAAUUCAGCUGCUGCUCUAGUGAAGAAACCCAAGGUUGAACCCAAACCCGAGACUAAGUGCUUCUGUAAUAAGGGGAACAACCACUGGAGCAGCAUUACCCUAGAUACUUGGUAGAUGAGAAGGCUGGCAAGGUCGAUAGAAGUAUAUUGGAUAUACAUUAUGUUAAUGUGUACUUUACUAUUACUCCUAGUAGCACCAGGGUAUUGGAUACCGGUUCGGUUGCUAAGUGUUAGUAACUCGAAAUAAAAGCUGCGGCAUAAACGGAGACUAGCUAAAGGUGAGCUGACGAUAUGUGUUGGAAGUGUUUCCAAUGUUGAUAUGAUCAAGCAUCGCACGCUCCCUCUACCAUCGAGAUUUGGUGUUUGCGUUGAGCAUAGACAUGAAUGGAUUAUGUCUAUCGCAAUACGGUUAUUCAUUUAAAGAGAAUAAUGGUUACUCUAUUUAUUUGAAUAAUACCUUCAAUGGUCUUGCACCUAAAAUGAAUGGUUCAUUGAAAUCUCGAUCGUAGUGAUACACAUGUUCAUGCCAAAAGAUAGUAAUGAUAGUACCACUUACUUGUGGCACUGCCAUGUAAGUCAUAAUGGUAUAAAACGCAUGAAGAAGCUCCAUGUUGAUGGAUCUUUGGACUCACUCGUUUUUGAAAAGUUUGAGACAUGCGAACCAUGUCUAUUGGUGUAUACGCAUGAAGAAACUCCAUACAGAUGGAUCAUCAGGACUCACUUGAUUUUGAAUCACUUGAGAUAUGCAAAUUAUACCACAUAGGCAAGAUGACUGAAAAGCCUCGGUUUCAAUAAGAUGGAACAAGAUAGCAACUUGUUGGAAGUAACACAUUUUGAUGUGUGCAGUCCAAUAAGUGCUGAGGCAUGCAGUGAAUAUCGUUAUGUUCUUACUUCACAGAUGAUUCGAGUAGAUGUUGAGAAUAUUUACUUGAUGAAACACAAGUCUGAAUUAUUGAAUGGUUCAAGUAAUUUCAGAGUGAAGUAGAAGAUCGUUGUGACAAGAGGAUAAAAUGUCUAUGAUAUGAUCAUAGAGAUGAAUAUCUGAGUUACGAGUUUUGGCACACAAUUUAGACAUUGUGGAAAUUGUUUCGCAAUUAAUACCGCCUGGAACACCAUAAUGUGAUGGUGUGUCCGAACAUCAUAGUUGCACCCUAUUGGAUAUGGUGCGUACCAUGAUGUCUCUUAUCGAAUUACCACUAUCGUUCAUGGGUUAGGCAUUAGAGACAACCACAUUCACUUUAAAUAGGGCACCGCGUAAUUCCGUUGAGAUGACACCGUAUGAAUUAUGGUUUAGAGAAACCUAAGUUGUCGUUUCUUAAAAGUUUGGGGCUGCGACGCUUAUAUGAAAAAGUUUCAGGUUGAUAAGCUCGAACCCAAAGCGGAUAAAAUGCAUCUUCAUAGGAAACCCAAAACAGUUGGGUAUACCUCCUAAUUCAGAUCCGAAAGCAAUAUGAUUGUUUCUUGAAUCGGGUCCUUUCUCGAGGAAAGGUUUCUCUCGAAAGAGUUGAGUGGGAGGAUGGUGGAGAAUUGAUGAGGUUAUUGAACCGUCACUUCAACUAGUGUGUAGCAGGGCAUAGGAAGUUGUUCCUGUGGCACCUACACCAAUUGAAGUGGAAGCUUAUGAUAUUGAUCAUGAAACUUCGGAUCAAGUCACUACCAAACCUCGUAGGACGACAAGGACACGUACUACUUCGGAGUGGUAAGGUGAUCCUGUCUUGAAGGUCAUGUUGCUAGACAACAAUGAACCUACGAGCUAUGGAGAAGCGAUGGUGGGCCCGAAUUCCGACAUAUGGUUAGAAGCCAUGAAAUUCGAGAUAGUAUCCAUAUAUCAGAACAAAGCAUGGACUUUGAUGGACUUGCCCGAUGAUCGGCAAUCCAUUAAGAUAAAUGGAUCUUUAAGAAGAAGACGGACGUGGAUGGUAAUGUCACCAUCUAUGAAGCUCGACUUGUGGCGAAGUGUUUUCCGACAAGUUCAAGGAGUUGACUACGAUGAGAUUUUCUCACUCGUAGUGAUGCUUAAAGUCCGUCGGAAUCAUGUUAGCAUUAGCUGCAUUUAUGAAAUCUGGCAGAUGGAUGUCAAGACGAGUUUCCUUACCAGUUUUCGUGAGGAAAGGUUGUAUGUAAUACAAUCAGAAAGUUUUUGUGGAUCCUAAGGAUGCUAAAAGGUAUGCUGGCUCCAGCGAUCCUUCUAAGGACUGGAGUGAGCAUCUCGGAGUUGGAAUGUAUGCUUUGAUGAUGAUCAAAGAUUUUGGGUUUGUACAAAGUUUAUGAGAAACUUGUAUUUCCAAAGAAGUGAGUGGGAGCACUAUAGAAUUUCUGAUGAAUACAUGUUGAUCAGAAAUGAUGUAGAAUUUCUGGAAAGCAUAUAGGGUUAUUUUGAAAGUGUUUUUCAAUAGAAAGCCUGGAUUAAGCUACUUGAACAUUGAGCAUCAAGAUCUAUAAGGAUAGAUCAAAAUGCUUAAUAAUACUUUCAAAUGAGCACAUACCUUGACAUGAUCUUGAAGGUGUUCAAGAUGGACCAGUCAAAGAAGGAGUUCUUGCCUGAGUUGUAAGGUACGAAGUUAAGACUUAAAGCUCGACCACGGCAGAAUAGAAAGAAAGGACGAAGGUCGUCCCCUAUGCUUAAGACGUAGGCUCUUCAGUAUGCUAUGCUGUGUACCGCACCUGAAGUGUGCCUUGCCAUGAGUCAGUCAAGGGGUAGAAGAGUGAUCCAAGAAUUGCUCACAGGACAGCGGUCAAAGUUAUCCUUAGUAACUAGUGGACUAAGGAAUUUUCUCGAUUAUGGAGGUGGUAAAAGAGUUCGUCGUAAAGGUUACGACGAUGCAAGCUUGACACCUAUCCGGAUAGCUCUGAGUAGAGAGACCGGAUACAUAUAAUGGAGCAAUGAUUUAUGAUAGCUCCAAGUAGAACAGUUGUUUGGAAUAGCUCCAAAUAGAGCGUGGUAGCUGCAUCUAGGAGAUGACAUAGAGAUUUGUAAAGCACACACGGAUCUGAAAGGUUCAGACCCGUUGACUAAAACCUCUCUCACAAGCAACAUGAUCAAACAUAAAACUCAUUGAGUGUUAAUCACAUAGUGAUGUGAACUAGACUACUGACUCUAGUAAACUCUUGGGUAUUAGUCACAUGGCGAUGUGACCUGUGAGUGUUAAUCACAUGGCGAUGUGAACUAGAUUAUUGACUCUAGUGCAAGUGGGAGACUGUUGGAAAUAUGCCCUAGAGGCAAUAAUAAAAGUAUUAUUAUUAUAUUUCCUUGUUCAUGAUAAUUGUCUUUUAUUCAUGCUAUAACUGUAUUAUCCGGAAAUCGUAAUACACGUGUGAAUACAUAGACCACAAUAUGUCCCUAGUGAGCCUCUAGUUGACUAGCUCGUUGUGAUCAACAGAUAGUCAUGGUUUCCUGGCUAUGGACAUUGGAUGUCGUUGAUAACGCGAUCACAUCAUUAGGAGAAUGAUGUGAUGGACAAGACCCAAUCCUAAGCUUAGCACAAAGAUCGUGUAGUUCGUUUGCUAGAGCUUUGCCAAUGUCAAGUAUCUCUUCCUUUGACCAUGAGAUCGUGUAACUCCUGGAUACCGUAGGAGUGCCUUGGGUGUAUCAAACGUCACCACGUAACUGGGUGACUCUAAAGGUGCACUACAGGUAUCUCCGAAAGUAUCUAUUGUUUUAUGCGGAUCGAGACUGGGAUUUGUCACUCCGUGUAAACGGAGAGGUAUCUCUGGGCCCACUCGGUAGGACAUCAUCAUAUGCGCAAUGUGACCAAGGAGUUGAUCACGGGGUGAUGUGUUACGGAACGAGUAAAGUGACUUGCCGAUAACGAGAUUGAACAAGGUAUCGGUAUACCGACGAUCGAAUCUCGGGCAAGUAACAUACCGAUAGACAAAGGGAAUUGAAUACGGGAUCGAUUGAGUCCUUGACAUCGUGGUUCAUCCGAUGAGAUCAUCGUGGAACAUGUGGGAGCCAACAUGGGUAUCCAGAUCCCGCUGUUGGUUAUUGACUGGAGAACGUCUCGGUCAUGUCUGCAUGUCUCCCGAACCCGUAGGGUCUACACACUUAAGGUUCGAUGACGGUAGGGUUAUAAAGGAAGCUUGUAUGUGGUUAUCGAAUGUUGUUCGGAGUCCCGGAUGAGAUCCCGGACGUCACGAGGAGUUCCGGAAUGGUCCGGAGGUAAAGAUUUAUAUAUAGGAAGUCCUGUUUCGGCCAUCGGGACAAGUUUCGGGGUCAUCGGUAUUGUACCGGGACCACCGGAAGGGUCCUGGGGGCCCACCGGGUGGGGCCACCUGCCCCGGGGGGCCACAUGGGCUGAAGUGGGAAGGGAUCCAGCCCCAAGUGGGCUGGGGCGCCACUUCCCUCAUGGCCCAUGCGCCUAGGGUCAAAGGGGAACCCUAAGGAAGAGUCCUAGGAGGGGAAGGCACCUCCUAGGUGCCUUGGGGGGGAGGGAAUCCUCCCUUGGCCGCCGCCCCUUUCCCAUCUAGGGCUGGCCGCACCCCUUGGGGGUGGGAAACCCUAAAGGGGGCGCAGCCCUCCCCUUCCCCUAUAUAUAUUGAGGCAUGGGGCUGCCCAUAACACGCGAUUUGAUCUCUCGUUGGUGCAGCCCUGCCCCUCUCCCUCCUCCUCCUCUCCCAUGGUGCUUAGCGAAGCCCUGCUGGAUUGCCACGCUCCUCCAUCACCACCACGCCAUUGUGCUGCUGUUGGAUGGAGUCUUCCUCAACCUCUCCCUCUCUCCUUGCUGGAUCAAGGCGUGGGAGACGUCACCGGGCUGUACGUGUGUUGAACGCGGAGGUGCCGUACGUUCGGCACUUGAUCAUCGGUGAUCUGAAUCACGACGAGUACGACUCCAUCAACCCCGUUCACUUGAACGCUUCCGCUUAGCGAUCUACAAGGGUAUGUAGAUGCACUCUCCUUUCUACUCGUUGCUGGUCUCUCCAUAGAUAGAUCUUGGUGUUACGUAGGAAAAUUUUUGAAUUUCUGCUACGUUCCCCAACACUAGAUGCAGCACCAGCGACCCGAGUACAUCCGAAGUCAGGGAUGGAAAUGGGAAAUCAUGACGCAGAAAAGAUCAGCGCCGGAACAAGGAAAAUGACCCAAAUAGUACAGCGGUCAACACCAGAUUCAAAAGCUCUCGGCCGAAUAACAAAACACUGCCCCUCAAGGACAACAGUGACGAGCUAUCCAACCUAAACAAGAUUCUGGACAGGCUAUGUCAAAUACACGGUACCCCCGGAAAGCCUGCAAACCAUACCCACAGAGAUUGUUGGGUCUUCAAGCAGUCCGGCCGACUUAAUGCCGAACACAAGGGGCUCGACACACCAAGCAAAAGUGACGAACCCCAAAAGCAGCACUCCAGAAAACAGAAGACUUUCCCACUAGAAGUCAAAACAGUGAACUCACUUCAUGUGAUAACACGAAAACACAGCGCGGCACCUGCCAUACCAGGACACCGUCCGCAGAAUGGGGAUAGACCCUACCAACAUUCGCCAUAACAGCAUUUCCUUCAAAGGAGUGAUGCCAUGCCUUUAAGCCAAUUAUACGGGCUCUGUACCACUAGAGGUUGUGUUCGGUUCAUCCGACAACCUCCGUCGCGAAAGGCUCACUCUUCGUCGCGCCCCAUUAAACAGUGGCCAUCAAGCACUACUGGGACGCAAAGCUUUCGCCCGCUUUAACGCCAUACCACACUACACGUCUCCUAUACUUACAAUGCCCGGUCCACGCGGCAUAAUCUCAUUAAAUAGUAACUAGGAGUGUUCCUCGACCACGGAGUGCGUGGGGCUGCCUUGACAGCCACUCCGACCUUGCUUGUCAAGGCCCCUAAACACAGGUCAUUCAGACCCCGGACACGGUUAGGCGAGUCCGGCGUAAAUAAACAAGGGGCUUCCCAUCCGCAUACCCCCUUUAUAAGGGGUCGCGCGUUUAAACGAUGAGAGCCAAUAAAGCUCAACUUUCUUUAUCUACCAAAUUAUACUUUAUUUUAACACAACUUUUGCACGAUAUUUCUUAGAAACUAAGUCCUUCUCUUUUACAGAUGAAGCACGUGCUACACCCGUCUAGGAUACAGCACAACGGAGACACAGGCGCAGACGUGCAGCAGGGACCCAUUGCAAGGAUUCUUUUCAGAUUAAGACCCUGCGUAAACCUUUCUUACUGUCUCCUAUUGAUACACAUCCCCUGGUUUUCUACCAUAGCCGAGGAGGAGGCUGGCGUUUUGGCAUCGGCCGCGUCAGAAGUUCCCGUCUGUACCUGGACACUAGGGGCUUAGGGCAUUGUUCUGCCCGGUAUCAUAAAGACCGAACACCUUAGGGAGUGUUCGGCGUCUCGAGUUAGGCCUUAUAUGCAUCAGCUCCGAAUCAUGUCUUUGGUAAAAUGUUGGGUUUGCCCGGCUCCUGUGUUUUGCUGCCUUACGUUCCGUAUCAUCGGCUAACGCGGCACCAGGAGAACUACUGCGAUUGUGCCCCGGUUCGGCCGGGCGAGCACCUCAGUAGAGAAAGCCGAAAACUGACUGUCAUGAUAUAGCGAGAGACUGGUCAACCAUUCGAUCGACCAUUGGAAUGUUUAGAAUUCCUCCGCUUUGACGAAGGACCGCUUCCCGGUCAGGCACAUACGCACCCCGAGUUCGGAGAAGAGCGGUGCCGCCAGGGGCUAUAUAGUAGCCCCACAUUCGAGCUCCUAUGGCUAAGUGAAAGUGAUAAAGCAUUAUAGUCCGGUUGCCUAGUUUGCUACGCUAUCACCUCCUUAAAAGGACCAAGACGUUGGAUCAAGUGUGAAAAAGCUUUUCUUUUUGCAAACACCCCCGCACCAUGUGCGUGGGGGCUGAAGCCAAAGACUGCCAUCUUUCAGAUUAUACAUACAUAUACGGCCGCACAGGAGAUAGUUCAAUACUUGAACACACAAGUAUAAAAAGCUAUUGUAUUAUAAACAUGAUCUCAGAAAUCAUACAUGUCAUUCAAACAUAACAUUUUUCGAGCACUGCGACUCUAUUAAACGAGCGCCCUGCAGGACUUCCUCAAAAUAGUGCUCGGUGGGGAUCCGGCUUUUAUCCGAACCCCGGGAUGCAACAGCGGUGGCAUCCAUCUCCGCCCAGUAUGUCUUACCACGGGCGAGAGCCAUCCGUGCACCUUCUAUACACGCCGACCGCUUCAUCGCCCCAAUACGCGGCACCGCCCCAAGAAAUUGCUGCAACAAGCCAAAAUAACUCUUCGGCUUGGGCCUUCCCGGCCACAGAUGAGCGACCACAUCCGUCAUGGCAAGUCCGGACAAUCUAUUUAGCUCAGCCCACUCAACCAGCCGAUCACUCAACGGAAGUGGACGCUCCGAACUAUGGAAUUGAGACCAGAAAAGCUCUUCCAUUUCGUGAUCCUUCUGGCUUCGGAAGUGCACAACUGCGUCCGCCGCACUCGCUGCCAAGUCCAGAUAAGGAUCCUCCGCACCAUAUAAUCGGCCCAGCUGAGCAUACUUCGGAUCCGUGAACUUCCUACGCAGCAUAAAGGGCUUUCCAGCCACAAUGUCUCCGACCUGACACAGUUCCUCCUUCAUAGCCCGCAUCGCACUACGGGCAUCCUUGGCUUCGGCGUCGGCCUUCUUCAGGUCCUCUUGCUCCGCUCGGCGUUCUCUUUCAAGAACCUCCUGGCGGUCGGUAGCAACUUUUAAAUUCGCGGCCAUUCCGGCCAUCUCCUCCCUGCUUCGGCAGUGAGCAGCCUUCUCGGCUUCUAGCUCUUCCGCUGCCUUCGAGGCAGCCGCCUCGCUUUUUCUGGCUUGCUCCUUGGCCCGAGCAAGUUCUGCUCGAAGGUCUUCCACAGCAACAGCACCAUCUGCAUCAAGCAUACAAAUUGUAAGGAAUGGGCGUCAUCUCCCUUACUAGGAGACCGCGGAGCAACCACAUACCUUGUGACUCAUCAAGUCGUUUAUUGACCAGCGAGAUGUCCGCAUCCGCAACGUCGAGUUGCCUCCUCAGCUCGGCAAAUCCAUCAGUCCGGCUGGCUACCGAACGUUCCGCCACCUGCAAACGAAAGGCGACAUUCUACAACUGAGAUUAUGAUCCUUGGCAUGCUAUCGUUUUCGACAACAUACCAAGCCUCAGGGGCUACUAUCUAUACAGGGCGCACUUCAUGUGCAAAACUGUCAAAAGGUAUGUCAUUUUUUGCAUACCUCAAAGCCCGUCAGCAAGCUUCUGACGGCCUCAUACAACCCGCUCUCGGCGGACGAGAUCCUUUCAAUCACCGUACUCAUUAAUGUGCGGUGAUCUUCCGAGAUGAACGCCCUCUUAAGCGAAUCCUGUAGCUCCACCGGCCGUACUCCAAUGGGUGCCGAACUCUCUGGCCCCGCCGGACUCGGGGAGACCCUCCGCGACGACACCUCAGGGUCGUCCGCCCCGCAUGAUGGGGCGGCAGAUGGAGGCGUUUCACUCUCCAUCAUCUCCGGACGAAGGUCUCCCGAAGAUGAGCUGUGCUGAGACGGGCUGAGAUCCGAACUACAAGAUGAAAACUUCGGUUACCCUUAAAAAUUAAGCAGGGGUGUCCACUAUUACAAAAUUCCUCCUUUUUUACUUACGGCUCGCUAGAGGGCUGAUUCCUCCGAGGAGACAGUACGGCCGGGACUCUUCCCGGCACAGGACCUUCCGGUACAGAUUUCUUUCCCCGCUUCGAGGCCUUGGCCUCCGGGUCUUCGGAAGCUGUCCUCUUCUCCCCCUAGAAGGGGGUACUCUUGAUUCCUCCCUUAUUGAAAACCUCCUUGGCAGAGGUGGUAGUUCCCCUGUGCCCCCCUUCGCCCUCCUCCGAGGGUGCAACCUCCAACAUUUUGAUUAACACGGGAUCCUGCGUGGUCUCAAGGAGGGGGGCCGGACACCGUAUCAUUUUUGCUUGCGCUAUCCACUCCUGUCCAAGGGAUAGCUGGUCAAAAGGCAAAACCACGAUAAAUAGAUAAACAAUGUGUCCGGGCACAGGGCUACUUACUUGAGUAUCCGGGCGAUUGCAGCUUAGGCCAGCAUCCUCGGUCAAGUCCGGACGCAUCUCUUGCGAUCCGAAGAACAGUUUGUACAUCUUCGCAGGUGUCAAACCCAUGAAGUGUUGAAGAGCUCGUGGCCCCUCCGGAUUAAAUUCCCACAGGCGGAGGGGGCGACGUUUGCAGGGCAGUAGGCGCCGGAUCAGCAUAACCUGUACCACUGCGACUAGAUUGAUCUCCCUUUCUUGGAGGCCUCAAAUCCGGUCCUACAACAGGGGUACGUCUUUGGACGGCCCCCAGUCACACCCCUUGUUGACCCAUGAUGUCAACUAUUGUGGAGGGCCCGAGCGGAAGACGGGCGGCGGCCUCUGCCUGCUGCCCCUGGGAGCGGUGAUAUAAAACCACUCCUGUUGCCACACGCCGAGCUCCUCCUGAAAAGAGCCCUCGGGCCAUGGAGCAUCGGCCCUCUUGCUUAUGACCGCCCCUCCGCACUCUGCCUGAUGCCCCUCAAUCAUCUUCGGCUCCACAUUGAAGGUUUUGAGCCAUAAGCCGAAGUGAGGGGUAGUGCGGAGGAAGGCUUCGCAAACGACAAUAAACGAUGAGAUGUGGAGGAUGGACUCCGGAGCCAAGUCAUGGAAUUCUAGCCCAUAGUAAAACAUGAGCCCCCUCACGAAGGGGUCCAUCGGGAAGCCUAAGCCCCGACAGAGGUGAGACACGAACACAACGCUCUCGCCGGGCUCGGGAGUAGGAAUAACUUGCCCUCGGGCAGGCAACCUAUGCGAAAUCUCAUAGGUCAAGUACCUGGUGUCUCUCAGCUUUAACACGUCUUCUUCCGUCACGGAAGAGGGCAUCCACCGGCCCCAUAGGUCGGAGCCGGACAUUUUCGAAGGUCGAAGGUACCCAAAUCUGGAGCCCUGGGUGUUGGAACUCGGGGGCGAGGAGCGGAUUCGAUUGAGGAUUGAAGAAAAAGAACUGGCCUUGGUCUCAUUAUAAAGAGGAAGAAUACCAAGAGCCGUCGCCGUGACCGUUUGAAACCCGCCUUCGAUGGAGGGGGCUUGGCAACGGGCGCGGUUGGGUUACCCACGUCCGUAUUUAUGGGAAUCCCGGAAUAAGGGGAACACGAUCUCUGCUUCGACAAGACGUGCCAAGGAAAGCGCUUCGCUAAACGCGCUGAGGUGGUACAAUAAAAAUGAUUCGAGUAAAGGCUUGGUAGUGUUGUGACGUCAUGUCACGAAAUACGCCAGCAGAUUGAACUUGUGUAAAUAUUAUUCUCUCUACGGUGGUAUGUGGAAAUUAUUUUGCAGAGCCAGACACUAUCCUGGUGUUCACAAUCUUCUAUGAAUUAUUUGGAGGGAGAACCCGCCUUGCAAUGCCGAAGACAACAUGCGCGCCGGACUCGUCGUCAUUGAAGCCUGGUUCAGGGGUUACUGAGGGAGUUCCGGACUAGGGGGUGUCCGGAUAGCCGAACUAUCAUCAUCGGCCGGACUCCAAGACUAUGAAGAUACAAGAUUGAAGACUUCGUCCCGUGUCCGGAUGGGACUUUCCUUGGCGUGGAAGGCAAGCUUGGUGAUACGGAUAUGUAGAUCUCCCACCAUUGUAACCGACUCUGUGUAACCCUAGCCCUCUUCGGUGUCUAUAUAAACCGAAUGACUUUAGUCCAUAGGACGAACAACAAUCAUACCAUAGGCUAGCUUCUAGGGUUUAGCCUCCUUGAUCUCGUGGUAGAUCUACUCUUGUAACACACAUCAUCAAUAUUAAUCAAGCAGGACAUAGGGUUUUACCUCCAUCAAGAGGGCCCGAACCUGGGUAAAACAUCGUGUCCCUCGUCUCCUGUUACCAUCCGCCUAGAUGCACAGUUCGGGACCCCCUACCCGAGAUCCGCCGGUUUUGACACCGACAAUGACCGAAGUUUGUUCGAAGUCCCUGAUGAGAUCACAGACAUGACGAGGAGUCUCGAAAUGGCCGAGACAUAAGUAUCGAUAUAUUGGAAGGAUAUAUUCGGACAUCGGAAAGGUUCCGAGUGAUUCGGGUAUUUUUAAGAGUACCGGAGAGUUACGAGAAUUCACCGGGGGAAGUACUGGGCCUUAAUGGGCCAUAUGAGAAAGGAGAGAAGGGCCUCAAGGGGUGGCCGCGCGCCUCCGCUAUGGCAAGUCCGAAUUGGACUAGGGAGGGGACGGCGCCCCCCUCUCUUUCCUUCUCCCUCUCCUACUCCUUCCCUCUCUGUCCUCUUGGAAAAGGAAGGGAACUCCAACUAGGAUUGGGAAUCCUAGUUGGACUCCCCCUAUAGGCGCGCCCCUCCUAGGCUGGCCUCCUCCUCCUCCGUCCUUUAUAUACGUGGCCCGGGGCACCCCAUAGACACACAAGUUGAUCUUUUAGCCGUGUGCGGUGCCCCCCUCCACAGUUACACACCUCGAUCAUAUGUUGCGGAGCUUAGGAGAAGCCCUGCGCCAGUAGCAUCAUCAUCACCGUCACCAUGUCAUCGUGCUGAAGGAACUCACCCUCGGCUUCAACUGGAUCAAGAGUAUGAGAGACUUCAUCAAGCUGAACGUGUACUAAACACAAAGGUGUCGUACAUUCAGUACUUGGAUCGGUCGGAUCGUGAAGACGUACGAGUACAUCAACCGCGUUGUCAUAACGCUUCCGCUUUCGGUCUAUGAGGGUACGUAGACAACACUCUCCUCUCUCUUUGCUUUGCAUCACCUAGAUAGAUCUUGCAUGAUCAUAGAAUUUUUUUUGAAAUUACUGCGUUCCCCAACAGUGGCAUCCGAGCCAGGUCUAUGCGUAGAUGUUAUAUGCACGAGUAGAACACAAAGAGUUGUGGGCGAUAAUAGUCAUAUUGCUUACCAGCAUGUCAUACUUUGAUUCGGCGGUAUUGUUGGAUGAAGCGGCUCAGACCGACAUUAUGCGUAUGCUUACGCGAGACUGGUUCUACCGACAUGCCUCGCACACAGGUGGCUAGUGGGUGUCUGUUUCUCCAGCUUUAGUUGAAUCGAGUGUGGCUACGCCCGGUCCUUGUUGAAGGUUAAAACAACACACUUGACGAAAAAUCGUUGUUGUUUUUGAUGCGUAGGGAAGAACGGUUCUUGCUAAGCCCGUAGCAGCCACGUAAAACUUGCAACAACAAAGUAGAGGACAUCUAACUUGUCCUCCUAACUGUCACCUCCAGCUAGGAGAUCAGGAAACCACGCGCAAACAUAAAUUAGGUAACCCACCAGUUCACUCGGUUCGUCUAGUCCGAUGGCUGACCGGUCUACGAAUGACCAAUUAACCACUCAACCAUUGACUUUUGUGGAAAAACUUAAAUUGAAAUAAACCACAAAAAUUGAAGGAAGUUCACAAUUUUAAAAAAUACAAUAAACCUAAAAUUUGAAAAUUUUGAGAAAAAACCUCAUGGAUUUUAGAAAAUAAAUCAAGGAUUUGGAAAAUGUUCAUCAAUUUUGGAAAAAAGUUCAUCAAAUUAUGACAAAAGUUAAAAAUCAUUAAUUUUCCAAAUAAAACCACAAACCUGAAAAAGGUUCCCAUAUUUGGAAAAAAAAAAUUCAUAUGAAAAUGUUCAUCAAUUUCGAAAAAAACAUCGACAAUUUUUUAAAAAAUACUACAUUUUUUAAAAAUAAUAAUAAACAGGAAAAAAGUUCAUGGAAUUUGUCAAAAAGUUCAUCGAAUCUGAGAAAAAAGUUCAUCGAUUUUGCAGAAAAAAUUCAUCAUGAAGAAAAUAAGCUUCACGAAUUUGGAAAAGAAAGAAACAAAAGGAAAGAAAAAAGGAAAAGAAGAAUAUCAAGAAGAUAAGACGAAAAAACAUGUAUGUAAUCAAACGUGGCUAUGUGGUCCAGUGGUUGUCUUGCUAUACUAUGAACUGCGUGGUCGUCGGUUCGAUACCCAGCUCUUGCACACUAUUUUGGAGUUUAGAAAAGAGAGAGAAAACUAAAACUGGGCCGGCCCAACGUGGCAAGGGGGGUAUGCGCCCGUUAGCAGGAAUACCUGUAACGGGCGCUUAAGGCGCUGAAUAGGAACCAGCGUUGAAUAGGACCACCACUAGAGCAGUUUAGGCUUCGGACACUCACACAGGCCGUAUGGCGUCAUGGCCCAGCGCACUGGUCCAUGUAUCCUCGAAGUUGCAAUUUCUUUUUAGCCUUUCUUCUGUGGACCUUCUAUACUGUUCGGAGCCUUUUCACCUUUUUGUCGAGCCCACUGCAUCUCAUGUAUACAUUACAGACUUGUUGUUGCAGUUGCAGUUGCAGUAUCGCUCUUCAUAUGCUACAGUUUUACUCUCCUGCAGUUGCACCUUUCCUUGCUACCUUUCCACUAUAGUCCAUACUGAAACUUGCCAUCGACGCAGGGCAGCACUUCCAGUUCACUGUAUCAUGUCUCUCGAUACAGAAGUACUCCCUCCGUAAACAAAUAUAAGAGCGUUUAGAUAACUAAAGUAGUGAUCUAAACACUCUUAUAUUUUUUUACAGAGGGAGUACUAUUUCUACCAACAAAGAAAGGUUCUUCACCGAUGGACUCACUUGCCUCAAAGGAUGUACCACUGCAGCACUACAUGCCUACCUUGGGCCAUGCACCUUUAAUCAGUACUCAAACAAGCAUUUCUUGUGUGCUAAGGCUGCCCGUAAUGGGAGUAGUCAAACAAGCAAUUUUGAUGAGUUAACAUAGAAUUAAAUGAAAAAAGAGAAAGUUGAGUAUCAUAUCAUGAUAAAUGAUAUGCUACUAUGUGUCAUGCGUGGCAAUAAAUUAACUAUCCUAUGAUACUAACAUAUGAUACUAUGCACGGAUGUAGUAUCAUACACUAGUAUUACUCCCCAUUACAACCAGCCUAAUCCGUAAUCAAUGAGAUAGGGUCUGACCUGCUAGGUUGGACCUCUGAAGGCACAAUGCUUCAUGCAUGGAAUAUUAGGUUUGUGUGACAGUCGUUAACCAUAUAAUUAAUCAGAUGGCAUGUGAUAAACAAAUGGUCUCUCACGCGCCUUCCCAACCUAACACCACAGACAACCAGGCAAGCUGCAUAGGGUGCUCUAUCUCCUUCCGUGCACUGAUAUGAAUCCAAGCAGAUAAAUUAACUACGUAUGCACCAUGGUAGGGGAGGAGUACGUAUGCACCAUGGUAGGGUAGAUUAACCCAUACUUAGAUAGUAGAUUAACCCAUGCACCAUGGUAGGGUAGGAGUACGUAUAGUCAAAAAUCUUGACCGUUCUUCAGUUUCAGUUACACACUGGAAAUUAAACCACUCUAGCUAGAACAUUGGUCGCCUCCCAAAUACAUAGGCCGGGUUCUGAACGGGCGUUUUUAUGGUAAAGCGACACGCGAAUCUUGCUGCAUAAUUUCGUCUUACAUGGCCAAAUGAUAGCCGUCCGAGAAUCAUUAGUAAACCACUACUUCCUGACUGAACAUAUUUUAUACUCAAAAUGUACCAAUUAUAACAGAACCCUGGAAAAAAAACACCUCGCCAUUUUGCCGAGUGUGAUUUCGGAUUCAUACUUGUUAGCACACGCAUAAAUAGUGUUUGCUUUCUGGCAUCUCACAAGGCAUAAGGCGACGCCAAACUGAUCAGAUCAUAAUCAGGACAGGCGCACGAGAGAGGGAGAGAGACGACGAUUCCAACUGGCAGCAGCAAUAUUUUUUAGGUUAGAUACAUCAGGCCACUAAUUAAGCAAUCAGUGAUCAGUCAAUAGCAGAGAUAAACAAAUAGUCAGGCCACAUGGCGGUUGCCGGCUUGCAAGAGCAUGAUAUGGGUUUGGUGAUGAAUAUGUAGUUGAAUAUAUGCAGCAUUAGUAGUACUAUAUACUAAGCCGAUAAUCCAAACUGAUAGAGACAAGAACUAUAUCUUGUGAUCAUAAGCUUGACACUUCCCAAGUGGUAGCGUGAGACAACUGGUUAGCAUGUGUGAUUGGUUUGGCACAGCAAGAACUCGUAGGUUAGCUAGGAUUUGCCAUGUCCGACUUAUUGAUACAGGCCAGGCCCAACCAACAUGUGCUACUUGACAACUUGUAACACAGGUAUACAAUCAAGAUUUCCUAGAUUCAGUGACUACCAAAUGAAUCCUUGAUGUGAACAAUGAUCGAUGUCAGCUAACAAGUGAUCAAGUUUCCGUUGAAUAAAUUCCAGAAAAUGAUCAAUGGUCAAAAUAGUUGGUGGUGAGAAACAAGGUUGGUUUCUUUUUGUAAGGUUGAGUGUGGCCGAAAUUUGGAGUUGGUGCACGGAAUCAACCUGAUGAGGCAGCUAGAUGAGUUUCUUGUCAGCUGUUGGAAUAAAGAAUGCGCCGGAUACAUGCAACAGAUGAGGUAUCAGAUUAAGCAAAUGAAUACUACUAGUACUGUAGUACAUGGUUGGGCAUCUAAGUUUGACAUAUUGACAUGUAGACAUGGGCUAUGGAACCAAAGUAAAAGUUAGAAAACUGAGCAUUCUGCAGACACUUCCCUGGAUUCUCUAACUCUGUCUUUAUAUAUCUUCGUACACGCAGUACGCCAGUGCCUUUCCAGGAUAUAUGGGCCGAUGUAGCUGCAGAUAAUGAUAUAUUCAUUUUGUUUUUGGGGUCAGCUCGAAUCGUAAAAAAUCACAGCAUGUCACUAGAGUAUUACCAAAUUUAAUGUGAAUCUUCAGUUAUAACAGAUGACUGGUACGGUCGCACUCUACUAACAAGGCCCCCCUUGGUUCAUACGAUAAGAAAAUCAUAGGAAUAGAAAAGACAUAGAAAAUAAAAUGACAUGUAUCUCAGUUUCUAUAAAAAAAAUAGACGUCAUUUGGUUCAUUGGAUAGAAACUUUUCCAUUAGGUCCGAGCAAAUAUAUUUUUUCUUUGAAAUGUCAAGGAUGGGAACCAAUUCUACAUACGAAUAGGAGCCUAUUCCUACAAUCCAAAGGGCUCUAUACUCUAUAGGGAUUUUUCCUUUAGAAAUCCCAUUCUAUAGAAUUCUUACUAAAAUCCUACAAACCACAGAAGGCCCAAUAUAAUUAAAUUUCAUUAGGAUAUAUAUCCUGUGUUCAUGUGGCCAUUGGAAGAAUUCAGGCAACGAUAAUUGUCAUGGCAAUUUACCAGGGAACAGAUGCAAAACAGCAGAACAUCAUUUUGAACAAUGAUUAGCUAGCUAGAGAAGUUUGUGGCUUCUGAUGCGCCAAGCAUGCCGGCCUGGCUAGAAGAUAGCAUUGCAUGUAACGCUGCGUCCUGCAGCCAUGCACUUUGCUUGUUCAUUAAUUACUAAUCUGAGUAUUGAUGGGUGUCACUUGACAUACGCAUGUGGUCGGUUGAAUUAUUUGAAAAUAUAAUUUACGAGCUUGUAGAGUAAAUUACAAAUCCAAAAGUAAAAGUUCAACAAAACAUGUUUUUUUUAAUGCUUUUCUGUGUUCAAACCUCCAGUAAAAUCUUCGGAGUACUUCAGCUUCUUGCCUUCUUCCACACGUACGAUUUUUCCAAUUUCAAGUGUCCUGGUCUACUAGGUAUACUGAACAAGUCUAGGGCUCUAGAUACCUUGUGAAACCCUAUCGAGUUAAAUACGCUAGGGGUGCCUCAACUUGUUGUGCCCGGAGAGUUUGGUGCCUAAAGUUGCAAAAUAUAUGAAAUUGGUGCUUGAACUUGUCCGGCUGUGCAACUACGAUGCCUCCUUCCGUAUCUGGGCGUAUGCUCUACCCACGUGGCGUGACAACCCCACAUGUCAGUGGCAGAGAGCAUGGAAGGUGCUGGGUGGCCUGCGCUUGAGAUUGUUUUUGCAGGAAGCCCCUCAUAUUUAAUUUAAUCACGUAGGAAAAACCUAUGUCAGUAUAAGCGUGUGACAGACAAAAACUAAAGAAAAUGUGUGAGUCCACCGCGCCAAACUCUGCUGAAUAGACAAUCAUGAAGUCGAACUGUACAUAUUGUGUUGUUAUUCAAAAGGUAAUUCUUCUAUAAAAAUAUACCAGGGGCGCUAGCCUCUCUGGUCUCGCCUUUUUUGUAACUUUGCAGCACGGGCAUAUUGUGCCCGUUUUUUGAACAUCAAAGAAAAGGAUUUUUACAGCGCAAAAAAAUCCGAAUUUUUUAUAUGUGCACAAAUAGAAGUGUAAUAUAUCGUGUGAAUUUUUAUCAAAAUCUGUGCUUAUAUGUGAGAGAUACGAAAAAGAUAAAUACAUGCAAAAAUCAGCUCUUUUUUGCCGGAUUUUUUUUUGAAUAUCCUUAUAUUUCUACAAACAUGGUUGACAUGUUUGGAUACAUUUGUAGAAUUUAAUAUUAUUAAAAAAUAAUUUUUAAUACAUGUUGAGUAGUUUACAAAAUACAAAGUUGUCAAAUUUUUAAUAAUUGGAUAUUCUAGAAAUAGAGUGAAGAUACACAAUAAUUGUGUGUGCUUCUGGUGCAGAAUGAAGAUAUACGAAUUUACACAAUAGUAUUUAAUAUGGGUUGAACUAUUUAAAUUAACAUAAAAUUUUGAAAAAGUUCAUUUUUACCUCUUCAAAGUACACGAUAACAAAAGAAGAAAAAAGAUUUGAAAAUACAAAGAAAUUUAAUAUUGGUAAUUAUUGUAUUUUUAUAUGGGAAAACUUGUGUGUCAUAAAACUAACCAUGAACUAGGAAAAAUAAAAAAUAAACAGUGGUAAUAAAUAAAAAAUAAAUGAUGGAUAAACGCAUCAAUUAGUCUACAAUAGCUUUCUUGCUAACAUUCUUAUGGAAAGCAAAGUUCAGCUGCAUGGCUGGAUCGUGCCGGUAGUUGACCCGGAGGUGCCUUUUCGAAACUCAUAUGUGUUUUUUUUUCCAUUUUAUUUCUAUCUAGCAUACCCUAUACUUCAGGACUUCCCUACAUGAUUAAAUAAAGCUCGAGGUUGGUUUCUGUAAAAUAAUUCCUCACGAGCGGGCACAUGGGCCACUGCCGCGCUAGCACGCCACGCGGACAACGUGUUGGAGUACGGACGAAGGCAUCGUGUUUGCACGAUCGGACAAGUUUGAGCCCCAGUUUUGUGUAUUUUGCAACUUUAGGCACCAAACUGACCGUAUAGGACAAGUUUAGGCACCUCCGAUGUAUUUAACUCAACCCUAUCAGUUUUGUCAAGGCAUGGGUAUAGAUCAAUAAUUUACUUGAGCUAGAAAGCUAGGCACUAUAUAGGUGUCAAGUGCAUGGGGAUCUCUUGAUUGAAAGAAUCCCAAGAUCUUUGCUCCUUUGACCAGAGUACACACAACUUUAAUUGUUCAUUCUCGAAUGACGAAUGUGACAAGAUACUCUAGCUUGGACUGUCCAGUAAUCCCAAACACGGGCGAAGAAGACAAACGCGAGCAUGGAGACCACCGCUUUGGAUUUGACUAGCGCGCGUCCGAGCUAAUGGCAUGCACCAAUGCAUGUGCUACCCUAGUUCCAUGCACGCACGCACCGUGUUCUUCCUUCGUCGUGAGCAAGGAUCGAUCAACACUCGGUCAUGCAUAUGUAAUCACCACGGAUGAUGCUAGUUAAUCAUGAAUUAGUCCAGGACUCAAAAGCUAGCUCCAUCGGCCAGUUGUUUAAUCUCUCAUCUUUGACAAACGGAUUAGCUACUGAGUGUAGUAAUAGAUAUGAUUAGCUGCUAGUGAUCGAUUAGCACGCACCUGGUUCCACAUUGACCACCUUUAUUUUGUAGCAGAGUAUAGGUAUGCACGCGUACAUCUUGUACGUACUACUUAAGUCCAAAAGUUUUCCCCUAAAAAGUGCACAGGUUAAUUCGUCUCCAAGAAAAGCAUAUGGUCAAGGUCAAAACUCAAAAAGGAGCCACGGCACCAACUAUCAAGGACAUCAAUUCCCUAGCUCUUUAGCUAGUUUCUUUUUGGACGACAAUAAGUGUGACACGUGUGCCACAAUGGACACCUGACCACACGACUCAUCAAGUCGUACUUUGGAGUUAGCCCUACGACCCUGUGUGGACGAACAUUAAAACUACACACACAUUUUCGGACCCAGGUACGAUGGCCCACACGACCUUGUGUGGCAACUGCUCAUCCUCACCACGUGAACGCAAACGCGUGUUUAAUUAAUUUAGUUGCCACGUGUAAUUAAAUAUAGUUGCAAUGUCUAAUUACUAUAGUUGUCAUAUGUGAAUAACUUUAUUUGGCAUGUAUCAUUAAAUAUAGUUGCCAUGUGCAACUAAUUGGAGUUGUCAUGUGUGAUCAAACUAUAAUUGUCAUCUAUGGUCAAUCAUAGUUGCCGUGUGUGAUUAGCUAGUUGCCGCAUAUGCACAACUGUUGUUGCCAUCUGUCACGGUGCGAGCGUCGUGUGGGUGAAGAGCAGUUUCACCCACACGUUCGCGCGAGCGUCGUGUGUCUGUUCGGGCGAGAGGCGCCCACACGUGUGGCACUAAAUGCUAACGCCCACGCGACGAUGUGUGUGCUUACAUGGCUCUCAACCCAAAUGGCAACUGCUGUAAUAUCCGUUCAAACGAAUCGAACGGUAUCAACUGCGUUUGGGCCAUGUUAAUAAGUGUCACACGUGUGAGCGUUAUCAUUUAGUUUGUUUUUCUUGAACAUGCUACUCUACUCUACCAGUCUACCUUUGGAGUUUGCAUGGUUGGAUUGGUUAGAGGGACUGUGGUAUCCCUAACCCACCAGGGUUCAAAUUCUGGUGCUCGUAUUUAUUUCUGGAUUUAUUUCAGGAUUUCCGGCGAUGCGCAUUCAGUGGGAGGAGACGUUUCCGUCGAUGAUGAGGUGCCUACGAUGACUUCUUAAAUUUCAAGAUGAUAUGCCGGCUCAGUCUUUCGGAUGUGCUCAUAGAGGUAGGGUGUGCGUGUGUGCGUUCACAGGGGUGAGUGUAUGCGUGUGUAUAUGAGCGCUUGUGUCUGUACUGAUGUCUAAAAAAAAGUGUUGCGUACUGUAUGUCUGUAUGUGCGUGUCUGUGCUAUGGAAGGUGAGGGCCAGGUGAUGAAGGACGCAUGACACACAUCCGUAGACAGCGCAAAGUUGGCCAAGACACAACAGUGAAAUCCCUCGUGCGAGGAGCGAGCAAACCACAAGGUAUCCGUGUCGACAGGUCGAGGGCGGACGUCCGUGCAUGCGAGUGCAACAACAUAAAGAAGAUGGCGGUCGAUGAACAUGGACUACAUGCAUGCAUGCACACGCAUGGUGCACGGCAGCGACCAAGUCCGGCGUGAAGAGAAGGGAUAAUGGCAUCUCCAAUCCAAUCCGUCAAAACAGGCAUAUCCGUGAAUAGGACAUGGGAAGAAGUUUAUCCAAAGCUAUCUAAAAAAAUUCCCAUUUAUUGUGAAACUCCCUUUGUUGUGUGUUGUGCGGCGGAGAGAGAUGACAGAGAGAGACGACAUGGUUGUUUAUGGUUGGACAUGCGGAUGUUCCAGGGUGGUGCCCCGAGUUCCUCAUUGAAGAAGUGGCGAUCUGGGUCAUUGACGAGCCAUCCCGCGCUUGGCCCGGCCAGCGUCCACUCCAUGGGCGCGUACACCAUCAACGGAGGAGGCGGCAGUUUGGCGGCACCCGUGGUGAUGUUGCAGGUAGAGGCAUCAUGCUCACAUUCGACGCCGACCUCGACAACGACUUCUGGCACGGCAACGACCUGUUUGUCGACGAGAGUUGGUCCAAUAAAAUUCUCAUGGCGUAUGGUCGGGGCAAUUUCCCUGGGCUCAGCUGCCCUGGUAUUUGGCCCUAGUGCUCCAGGGGGAGUGGCAGCGGUGCACCAAGUGGUAGUCACGAUGGUGGUGUUGGUGAUGGGCAUGGUGAUAGCGGAGGCGGCGCUUCUCCCGGAGAUACUGCAACACCGGGUGACUUGGCUGCCUCUUAUAGCCAAGCAUACAAUGCGUUUGACUCCGACACGACACAUAUCCUACCCACAGUACAACACAAGUCCAAACGUAACCCGACUCGCACUGUCGCACAUAAUAUUCGACACAAACUGAACACUCAUCAUAAAAUGUCAGUAUAACCUUAAAAAAACACAAACAGUCAUUAGACUUUCUCAGAAAAUAAACUAACUGUCAGCGACAGCCAGAUUCUCCCUUCUCCGUUGAAACCUCCCCACUUUCCCAUCUCAAGUUGCACUUACAGUUGCAGUAUCACACUUCAGACAUAAGCAGCUUGGGCCCUCUACAGACUACUGCUGAUUACUCUGAUACGGAACUACCGCUCACAAAAAAAAAA
Molecule: long non-coding RNA, 35673 nt
Filed under: Triticum aestivum (bread wheat)
Lineage: Eukaryota; Viridiplantae; Streptophyta; Magnoliopsida; Poales; Poaceae
Description: long non-coding RNA (TAES_LNC003863)
Source: RNAcentral